RNAcentral lists this ribosomal RNA (500 nucleotides) under Halobacillus sp. M14. RNAcentral describes it as "bacterial SSU rRNA". It matches the Rfam family "Bacterial small subunit ribosomal RNA", at positions 37 to 503 of the family's 1533-position model. The record is from RNAcentral. Lineage: Bacteria; Bacillati; Bacillota; Bacilli; Caryophanales; Bacillaceae.
AUGGCGGCGUGCCUAAUACAUGCAAGUCGAGCGCGGGAAGCAAACUGAAUCCUUCGGGAGGACGUUUGUGGAACGAGCGGCGGACGGGUGAGUAACACGUGGGCAACCUGCCUGUAAGACUGGGAUAACUCCGGGAAACCGGGGCUAAUACCGGAUAACUCAUCGGAUCGCAUGAUCCGAGGUUGAAAGAUGGCUUCUUGCUAUCACUUACAGAUGGGCCCGCGGCGCAUUANCUAGUUGGUGAGGUAACGGCUCACCAAGGCCACGAUGCGUAGCCGACCUGAGAGGGUGAUCGGCCACACUGGGACUGAGACACGGCCCAUACUCCUACGGGAGGCAGCAGUAGGGAAUCAUCCGCAAUGGACGAAAGUCUGACGGUGCAACGCCGCGUGAGUGAGGAAGGCCUUCGGGUCGUAAAACUCUGUUGUUAGGGAAGAACAAGUUCCGUUCGAAUAGGGCGGAGCCUUGACGGUACCUAACCAGAAAGCCACGNCUAACUA